UAGUAAUCGCGGAUCAGCAUGCCGCGGUGAAUACGUUCCCGGGCCUUGUACACACCGCCCGUCACACCAUGGGAGUCGGUAACACCCGAAGCCUGUAGUCUAACCGCAAGGAGGACGCAGUCGAAGGUGGGAUUGAUGACUGGGGUGAAGUCGUAACAAGGUAGC
Molecule: ribosomal RNA, 165 nt
Filed under: uncultured bacterium
Lineage: Bacteria
Description: partial 16S ribosomal RNA
Rfam family: Bacterial small subunit ribosomal RNA
Source: RNAcentral